ACGAUUAGACUGUUUUGAUGAGAAAUUUAAAGAUUACGUGUCCCAUCCGUUUGACUCACAGUUUGGUACCAUAGGUUGGUACGAUCUUCGUUGGAGAAGGAAAAGGGAUGUUCCAGAUACAGAAAACCGUCAAACCAUUUACUACAAAGUCCGUUUCUGGGUGGAGUUAGUGGAACCGAAAAAGAUGUCUCCCUCACAGCGUUUUUGACACAAGAAUUGUAUCGUUCCUUGGCGGCCUUUCAACAGAAGAAUAUUCAGAGAUUUCCCGACUGGACACAAUCAUCGCCUUGGAAGCUUCAUCACGAUACUACUUUGCAUUUCUGAAGAGGGAAGAAGAAAUCAAUAUGCAAAUUCAAUUCCAUGGUUUUGGAAGUCCCUUUGAGAACACGAUUCAUUUGCGCCGGCAUAAUGCUCUGACCGAGAAAGAAUUGAAGAGCCAGGACUGAGGGAAUCCUGCAUCGUUACGGUGUCAUCGUUGAGGGAGUGCUGCACUGCUGAAGGGCCGAUAGUAAGGGAGUGUGACACUGUCAGAGUGUCAUUACCAAAGGUGGGCUACAGUAUCAAAGGUACCACGCUGAGUAUUGUUAUCCCGAUAGUUCUUUCGUCUCAGUCCGUGUGUAUUCCUGGGCGAAUGUGCUCGUGUGGUCUCAGGAGUUGCGGAGGUCACGGCUCUGGGACAGCCGUUUCAUCGCCCAAUGCUGCAGGAAAAAAGCAAUGCAAGUGCCGUUAAUUUUUUGCAUGGCGAGCUGCUGCAUACUAACCGGUCUCACACCAUUACCAACACCUUGCCCUUGUGAAGGCAGAUAUGGAUAAGGUUCUCAAAGCUGACAGAAGAUUGAAACCACUCUAAUCCUGUGACGAUGAACCUGUCCCGGAAGAGAGAGCCCAGAGAAUUGCCAAAGCUGUCCGCAAACAGUCAAUAGAAGUGAAGGAAAAUUGGGAACAACUGAAAAUCCGUGCGAGCAACUGGCAGAAACAGGUGGAAAAGGUGUUGGAGAAACUUCAAGAACUGCAGAAAGUUCUGGAUGAUCUUGAGGCUCAUGUGAUAACAGCUGAGGGGGUCCACACUGAUUGGCAACCUGUGAGUGACCUGCUUAUUGACUCAUUGCAGGAUCACUUUGAUAAAACCACAGGUCAGGACUAUCUUCAAAAUCUGAGAUUGGGUUUUGAAAGACAGCAGCCUUUGUUUUGGAGAGAUAAUGGGAACUGCAGAUGCUGGAGAAUGCGAGAUAACAACGUGUGGAGCUGGAUGAAGACAGCAGGCCAAGCAGCAUCUGAGCAGCUUUCCUGGAGCAAGUCUGUUUUCCUUCGGAUGAGACGACUUUCAGACAUACUCCCUUUAUUAUGAGAUUUAAUUGCGGUAAAAUGAGGAGGAUUUUUAUUCACUGAGACACACAUGACUAAAUGUUGAAAGCAUUGGAAAAAGCGUUCUGUUCGGACUGUCAUGUUAUCUGGUGUUUGUACCAGGCUUUCCGAUGAAAUGCAAGUGAUUAAGGAUGCUACUGAUGCCACAUGUUAUUACAAGAGGAAAUGAACAUACAAGUAAGGAUUUUAUGCCACAUUUAUACAUAGCAUGGGCCAUGCAGCAUGGAUGCAGUGACUGAGUGAAAUGGGAUGCAGUGACUGAGUGAAAUGGGAUGCAGUGACUGAGUGAAAUGGGACGCAGUGACUGAGUGAAAUGGGACGCAGUGACUGAGUGAAAUGGGACGCAGUGACUGAGUGAAAUGGGACGCAGUGACUGAGUGAAAUGGGACGCAGUGACUGAGUGAAAUGGGACGCAGUGACUGAGUGAAAUGGGACGCAGUGACUGAGUGAAAUGGGACGCAGUGACUGAGUGAAAUGGGACGCAGUGACUGAGUGAAAUGCUCACAGCGAAUUGCCCCCUCCAUCCUGACCCGCUCACAGCGACUUGCCCCUGCAGUCCUGUCCCAAUCACAAGGACUUGCCCUCUCCGUCCUUACCCGCUCACAGUGACUUGCCCCUGCAGUCCUGACCCCCUCACAGUGACCUGCCCCCUCACUCCUGACCCGCUCUACAUUGAGGAAACCAAGCAGAGGCUUGGGGACCGCUUUGCAGAACACCUCCACUCGGUUCGCAACAAACAACUGCACUUCCCAGUCGCGAACCAUUUUAACUCCCCCUCCCAUUCCUUAGACGACAUGUCCAUCAUGGGCCUCCUGCAGUGCCACAAUAAUGCCACCCGAAGGUUGCAAGAACAGCAACUCAUAAUCCGCUUGGGGACCCUGCAACCCAAUGGUAUCCAUGUGGACUUCACCAGCUUCAAAAUCUCCCCUUCCCCAACUGCAUCCCAAAACCAGCCCAGUUCUUCCCCUCCCCCUACUGCAUCACAAAACCAGCCCAGCUGUUCCCUUCCCCCGACUGCAUCCCAAAACCAGCCCAGCCUGUCUCCACCUCCCUAACAUGUUGUUCCUCUCACCCAUCCCUUCCUCCCACCUCAAGCCACACCUCAUCCUGCCUCCUUGACCUGUCUGUCUUCCCUGGACUGACCUAUGCCCUCCCUACCUCCUCACCUGUACUCUCCUCUCUACCUAUCUUGUUUUCUCUCCAUCUUCGGUCCGCACCACCCCCCUCCCUAUUUAUUCCAGUUCCCUCUCCCAUCCCCCUCUCUGAUGAAGGGUCUAGGCCCGAAAUGUCAGCUUUUGUGCUCCUGAGAUGCUGCUUGGCCUGCUGUGUUCAUCCAGCUCCACACUUUAUGUUGGAUUCUCCAGCAUCUGCAGUUCCCAUUAUCAGUGGCAUUUUCCUCUUCAUCGAAGUUUGUGCAAAAGCAACACGAUAUGGGGCGGCACGGUGGCUCAGCGGUUAGCACUGCAGCCUCACAGCACUGGGGACCCAGGUUCAAUUCCAGCCUCAGACAACUGUCUGUGUGGAAUUUGCACCUUGUCCCUGUGUCUGCGUGGGUUUCCACCAGGUGCUCCGGUCUCCUCCCACAGUCCAAAGAUGUGCACGCUAGGUGGAUUGGCAAUGCUAAAUUGCCCGUAGUGUUCAGGGGCGUGGGUCUGGGUGGGAUGCUCCAAGGUUUGGUGUGCACUUGUUGGGCCAAAGGGCCUGUAUCCACACUAGGGAAUCUAAACAAACCUGUUCCCACAUCUCCAUGUUAUAACCCUGCUGAUCACUGCACACAGAGAUGUUUGAUAACAAAAGGAUAACAAUAAUAUUCAAACCUAGUGCUGGAGAUGUAUUUUAAAUACACGGAGGCCAGUGUCGAUCUCCAAUUCAACUUUUAUUUACAAAUGAACUGUCUUCAACUUUAGCACUGCCUCAUUCAGAGAUAGUUGACAGGGUGUCAGCAUCUCUGAUGCUCACACCUCUUAUCUGUCAGCCAGGGCUCCCUGAUUUGGGCUGUUAAUAUGGAACAAUCAGGCAACUCAUAUUCUGUGAGGUUCAACUGGCCGACCUGGUCACAAACCAGUGCGGUGUGUUCAUCGAAAAUCAAACGUACUAGAAAGAUACCAUUCCAUACCAGUGUAAAGGAAGGCAUGAGGCUAAACUGGGGAGGGAAGGGAACUGCUUAUUGGGGGUGGCCCAGAGAGUAAAAGAAAAUCGAAUGGGAAGAAGACCAUUUGAGACUGAGGGAGAGAGAUGUAAUUGCCUGAAUGAGGCAUUCCAAUUGCGAAAUGGAUUUUAGUGUGUACACCAUGUUCAGUUUCCCCGAUCUUAAUCUGUACUCCUCUUUAAAUCAUUAGUAUCUGAAAUUUCUGUAUCAUUUCCAAAUGUUCUGUCUCUAAUGUUAUGCUGUUGGAGUUGGUUGAACUGCAGAGAUAUUAUUUAUUUGCACAAAUGUGUUCAGUUGCAU
Molecule: long non-coding RNA, 3814 nt
Organism: Stegostoma tigrinum
Lineage: Eukaryota; Metazoa; Chordata; Chondrichthyes; Orectolobiformes; Stegostomatidae
Exons: 9
Source: RefSeq, a predicted model, not a curated record